GAAACACCUUUAUGGGGCAGGACUUGCUUCCGUGGGGCUUUGGUGCUCACUGAGUCUGCCCCCCUGAACGUGUCCCU
This 77-nucleotide microRNA precursor is filed under the name Myotis lucifugus (little brown bat). RNAcentral describes it as "mir-9229 microRNA precursor family". It matches the Rfam family "mir-9229 microRNA precursor family". The record is from Rfam by way of RNAcentral. Lineage: Eukaryota; Metazoa; Chordata; Mammalia; Chiroptera; Vespertilionidae.